CGUAGGCAUUCCUCCAUAACACGCACAGACAUUUCCCCUUACUUUCUAGGAGGAAAAAAGUGAGUGUUAUGGUGCAAAAAAUACGGUAACUAUCUGCAUACAUUCAUUCCUACUUACCAGCCAUAACUCAACAAGAGAACUCUAAUGCUUUAUAAUGCACACAUUAUUAUUUUUCUAAGUAUGAAAGCUAAAAGCACUACAGUUAUGUGAAGAUAUAAUAUUUUAAAGUUUCAUGGCACAAAUUUAAAUUAAUAAAACAGAAGCUUCCAGCAUACCUAUCUAUUACUAUUUUGUUAAAAUUAAAAAUAGACAAGAGGUUACCUUGAACACUUAUCUUCCAGAUGUUGUUGGAUUCCGACUCCAUCAUCCCUAACAAUUGGCAGAGCUAUCUGAAGCUGAUGGCAGUUGGCAUCCCACAACAUCUGCUGGGCCAAAGAUUCCCCACCCCUGCUUUAUCAUUUACCAGCUGUACAUAAAUUUAUUUUUCAAAAAUCAAAUUUUCAUUCCUUAUAAAGAGUUUCUGUCAUUGUUUUCAGAGCCUAUUAGAGCAUUGAAAUGUAUAAGAGUAUUACUAUAAAAUCAUAUUGCCUUAUUUAAAUCCAGGUAUCUUUUCCUAGCCAAAAAACAAAAUUGUGCUAUCACUUAACAUAGAUUCCUGAAGGUAUAACAAACUAUUCAAGAUUGCUUUAACUUGGGGGUUCUCAACCUUUCUGUCUACUUAAGAGAGCUGAAAAACACCAAGACCAACCCCCACUAAAAAGUGGUACAAGGGAACAGCCAGUUCCAAAAUAGUGCGAGAUGAAAGCAGUUUGGCAUAAUCAGCGGAUAUCUAAUCCAUCUUUCCAAAUUGCUAAAUUCGUUCCCACAGUGUUCUCCUGAUGACAAGGUGUUUCAAAGCUAAGCUUUCCUCAGGUCUGCUCUGGAGUUAUUGUUACUCAUCUUUGUAAAGAGGAGUUUUACUUGUAUAUCUAUCCUAUCCCAUCAUUACGUGCCUCUCAAAGUCUUUAUAGCCAUUUCCUGUAAUUUCUUCUGCCAUUCUCUUUUUGCCCUCAACUUGUACCUUAUUUCCACCCAACCAAAAAAGCCUGCCAGUUUCUUUCAUCCCUCUUUCCUGGUCCUUGCACAUUCAUUUUUGCUCAUAUAAUAGUUUUCUUUUUUUACCCCUUCCUAUUACCAGCUGAUUAAUGAUAAUAAAUGUUAACCUGUUACCUGUCUCUAAUUUUCUUCAACACCUUCACUGGCCCUUUUACAUCAGAAGAGGAAGAGCGACCUUUCUCCCCACCCUCAUUUUUCUGGCUCUUGCUCAUUUAUUCAAGCAGUAUUCACGGAGUGGCUGGUGCUGCAUUGGUCCAAUGAAGAGGGCAAGCAAGUUUGCAUUGGGCAGGCUGUGCUAGUGAUGUCCAUCUGAAAGUGGCCCCAAACUCACUUGUGGGCCCUAGUCUGAUGUCUAAGAAGCACUGCUUUAUGAGUAGGAAAAGGUGUGACACAUGUAUGUGUGCGAAGCAGUAGUCAUAGGCAAUAAUCAUUCAUCCUGCCUAUAUCCCCUGGGAAGCUCCAGCUAAUCAUGGCUUUCUAUUAUUGAAUUAGAAAUAAGCUACUACAGGAUAAUGAUAUGAAGCAGCAUACAAAAUUUGUAAAUAAAAGUAUUGCCACACUUUUUAAAAGUGAAUAUCUCAAAAAAAGAAAAAAAAAGUCCCACCUGAAGUGGAGUUCACCUAUUUCAGAAGAGCUGAGCAAAAAAUUUAUAUUGUACCAGGGUUGGUCCUGAACUAUCUUCAUCAUAGAUAAACUGCAACCGAGAAUUUGAUGAUCUGGCUAGUUAUACUUCUAUUUCUGUGAUCCUCGGCAUCCCUACUUAGAGUGAUUCUGAGAAUAGAUUGUGGUCGUUAUUCUACCUCUAACCACGCAGAGAACAAGAACAUUGUAAUGGUUUGGAUCCAGACUUGUUCCUCUGCAAUCAGAAGGGCAACCAGAACCCAGCAAAGGCUCACUGCUCAGUGAAACAGGGAUGUGAAGAAGUUAAAUGAGCCAAGCAAAAUGAAGGGUACUGUCCAGAUACAUUAACACUUGGUAUAGCAAAAUGAUAUUUAUACCUUCAUUGCAUUCAACUUUUCCAAAUGUUAUUUCACAUAAAAACCACCAGGAUGAGUUUGUUUAGUUUAAGCUAAGAACUUCAGAUGCAAUACUGUCACCACAAUCCAAAACCCUGUUUGUGAACUGGUGCUGUGGGAUUUGGUCAUAUAUGUUUCAUCUUUAAUCACAUACUUAGGAAUUAGAAUAAAUUAUCUUCUGAAUUUGAUUGAUGGUUAAUCUGCCAUGCUCAUGUGCCAUCCUUAAUCUGUUUUUCCCUGUGACAAAUUUCCUCUGAGAAAGUAUAUUUUCAGGCAACUAUGAAUGCUCAAGAGAGCUCAUUGAAAUAUUAAUUUAGCAAUCUAUUUUAAUAAUGUAUACUGAAAACUGGUUAUUUGAAUCUAUGGGCUUGUGUUUUAGAAGAGAAUCAAAACUAUUAAAUCCUCUUAUCUCAAAUUGUUGGAGCAUUUUUAAAACUGUUACUUCUACAUAAAGGACCACAAUCAAAUUAAUGAUUAUGCCUUAAUGAGCAAUAAUUAUGUAAAGAUCUUUAGACUCAGUAAGUUAUACUCAUUUAAUUUUACACUACUUUGGGUAAAACCAAUAAUACGUCUUAAUUUUAGUUCCUUGUUCUUAAUUUCAGAAUAGAUUGCAGUGAUACUAAAAAAAGCAGGGGUUCGGUUUCCUAUGAAUGAGAAUAAAAAAGAUUGCCAUAGGCUGUUGAUGGUUGAUAGCACAAGAUUAGUUUUCAGAACAAAUUAGAACUGGAAAGAAUGCUUAUGUUAAAAGAAGAAGCUCUAUAAAGUUCUGUGGACUUUAUAGUUUUUAAUGUUCAUUUCAAACUCCGCUCUGGUCCACUGAAACAUGUGCUGGAAUUUGAACUCUCUUAAGUGAAUAUGGCAUGUAUUUACAGCAGAGGUGGGGAAUUUCCAGCCUUCAGGACAAUCUUGGCUCACCAGGCCAUCACUUACCCAUCAGCCGAUGUCACUGGUAACUUUGGCGGAUGGGUGGGAGAAUAGGGUUUAUUCCCAUGUUGGCUGUGCCACCCUGUUUCCAGCUGGGAACAAGAUCAUGCCGCAUAGGCAGCAGAAUUUAAACUCUACCCAUCAGACAUUAAAACCCUUUCCUUUUCCUUUAAUCAGCCAGGGGGUGGCAUGCAGAUGGGAAAUGCUGCCACCCCCCUGCUUACAGAAGAAGUAGAGCAGCUUCCCCACAUUUGCAGGAGGGGGAAGGGUGCUUUGCCACUUUAAAGCAGUCCCUGUGCUCCUGAUAGAAAUGUAGGGGAGAGAUACUACAUUUAGAACUCUUUCAUAAGGGUACUUUACUCAAUGGGUACAAACAACCUAGUGGGAAACAAUAUUACAUUUUACUACAAUUAGUGCAUCAAGUGCUAACUUUGUACUUUUAGGCCACAAGCUUAUACACACAACAUUGGGAACCAAUGGGACUUACUUUUGCAUAGACGUGUGCAGGAUUUUACUGCUAAGGGAUCUCAGCUGUGCCUAUAUUUUCUUGAUUUAUCGAAUAUAUUUUAAAAAUAACAAGGGAACAGCCUGUGUGUUUUGUUUGCCUGAGUUUAAAUGCCGUGUUGCUUCCAGAUGGGGACGGAGAAAACAAGGCUGGAAAAGGACAGGAACUUAUGCUAGGAGUCAUCCCACCAUUAUCCUGUGCAAGUAAACUGUUGUCCAGGAAGGCCAAAAGAACUAAUGUGCACUUUGAAAACGGGUGGCCAUACAUGUGGAAGAACAUCAUAUUAUAAAAUGUAUGAGUAACCAAAUGAUGCCUACCUUAUUUGUUGCAUCAAUAAAUUUUACCCCUUUAUAAGAGACUGAUAAAACAAUAGUAGGAACUUUCUUCAUUUGUUCUGUAGACUUCUGAAAUUAAAAACAAACAUGAAA
Molecule: non-coding RNA, 3968 nt
Organism: Podarcis muralis (Common wall lizard)
Lineage: Eukaryota; Metazoa; Chordata; Lepidosauria; Squamata; Lacertidae
Source: RefSeq, a predicted model, not a curated record